CAAUUCUUUCGGGGCAGGGUGUAAUUCCCAACCGGCAGUGAUAAAGCCUGCGACCUGCUAACAUUUGUUAGUGGCUGAUCUAGUGAGAAUCUAGAGCCGACAGUUAAAGUCUGGAUGGGAGAAAGAAUGA
Molecule: non-coding RNA, 130 nt
Filed under: Staphylococcus sp. 8AQ
Lineage: Bacteria; Bacillati; Bacillota; Bacilli; Caryophanales; Staphylococcaceae
Description: FMN
Rfam family: FMN riboswitch aptamer (RFN element)
About the family: The RFN element is a highly conserved domain that is found frequently in the 5'-untranslated regions of prokaryotic mRNAs that encode for flavin mononucleotide (FMN) biosynthesis and transport proteins.
Source: RNAcentral